Molecule: ribosomal RNA, 492 nt
Filed under: uncultured bacterium
Lineage: Bacteria
Description: partial 16S ribosomal RNA
Rfam family: Bacterial small subunit ribosomal RNA
Source: RNAcentral
AGUGAACGCUGGCGGUAGGCCUAACACAUGCAAGUCGAACGGCAGCACAGUAAGAGCUUGCUCUUACGGGUGGCGAGUGGCGGACGGGUGAGGAAUACAUCGGAAUCUACUUUUUCGUGGGGGAUAACGUAGGGAAACUUACGCUAAUACCGCAUACGACCUACGGGUGAAAGCAGGGGGUCUUCGGACCUUGCGCGAUUGAAUGAGCCGAUGUCGGAUUAGCUAGUUGGCGGGGUAAAGGCCCACCAAGGCGACGAUCCGUAGCUGGUCUGAGAGGAUGAUCAGCCACACUGGAACUGAGACACGGUCCAGUCUCCUACGGGAGGCAGCAGUGGGGAAUAUUGGACAAUGGGCGCAAGCCUGAUCCAGCCAUACCGCGUGGGUGAAGAAGGCCUUCGGGUUGUAAAGCCCUUUUGUUGGGAAAGAAAAGCAGCAGGUUAAUACCCCGCUGUUCUGACGGUACCCAAAGAAUAAGCACCGGCUAACUUCGUG